RNAcentral lists this long non-coding RNA (1489 nucleotides) under Homo sapiens (human). Its description in RNAcentral is "HSALNT0395647". The record is from RNAcentral. Lineage: Eukaryota; Metazoa; Chordata; Mammalia; Primates; Hominidae.
CUGGGACUGCGCGGGUGCUGCGGUGAGCUUCGGGGUCUGGUAUGGCUGGUGCUUGUGCAGCCACUGCCUCCGGCCUCGGUGAUUGCGAAACUGAGGGGCAGUUGGGUGCAGUGAGACUUGACGUGCCUUUUAAGAGAAGAAAGAUGCGUGAAGACUGUCCUGCACUUGGUGCAUUCAUAUGGUUUUUCUCCAGCAGAAACUUUCUUGUGCAGGAACUGAUGAGAAAGAAAUGAGUUCAUUAAAAACCAAGGGAAGGAAUGAUGCCAUCCUCACCUACUGAGGCCAGGUUCCGGAAGGUCUCCAGCAUCACAUCUCUGUAGAGGUCCCUCUGAGCAGAAUCCAGCAAAGCCCACUCCUCCAGGGUGAAGUCCACAGCCACAUCCUCAAAGACCACUGAGUCCUAAGACAAACCACACAGGUGUGCAGGAGGAUUGGAGACACUGAAAGUACUGGGGAACUGGACUCAAUUCAUAAAUUCAAACAAGAUUCUGUGGUGUCCCAACACCUCCUCUAUGACGCGAAUGUUAGAUCUUUUACUUAUUCACAAUCACUUCCUAGUAAACUUCAUGGCACCACUAUCAGUCUGAACUUAUCUCUGCCUUUUUACUGCGACUGCUCUUAUUUUCCUCUACCAGGAGGGUCUAGAGAAAUGCUAUGCAAAUGAAGUAACUUUUCCAUUUGAAACGUUGCAUAACGCAGCAGGCCUCGGUUGUCCAAACGAUGCACAUUUCAUAGGACUUUCGGAAAAGCCUUCCACCAGCUACUGCAGAAAAUGGAUUCUGUGACUGUAAAAACCAAUGGCCGGGCGCAGUGGCUCACACCUGUCAUCCCAGCACUUUGGGAGGCCGAGGAGGGCGGAUCACGAGGUCAGGAGGUCGAGAUCAUCCUAGCUAUCUCUACUAAAAAUGCAAAAAAUUAGCCGGGCGUGGUGACGGGUGCCUGUAGUCCCAGCUACUGGGGAGGCGGAGCUUCGAGUGCGCGCUACUGCACUCCAGCCUGGGCGACAGAGCAAGACUCCGUCUCAAAAAAAAAAAAAAAAACCAAAAAAAUAACAACAACAAUGAAAUGUGCACGUUAAAUGGCUGUACGUUCUAUAUGUCAGUAAAGCUGGUUUUUAAAAAACAUAAAGAAUGUGAAGUUCACUGUCUUCCUCAAAAACAUGAUACACAAAAUGAAGACGCCCAUGACCUCACCUCUAGUCAACGUUAUACUAGUUCCAGCACCACCAGGAAAUAUACAAGAAUUAUAAAACAUAAACUUGUCUUUUUGCAAAUUUCUAAGAAUUAUGCACAUAAAACCCCAACAGAACAAAGAGAUAAUCCUAGAAAAAGAUUUUUACCAAGAUUCCAAGAAAUUGCAUUAUGUUUCUACUUCAUAAUAGUUGGAAAAUUAAUUUUUAAAAGCUGAUACAUACUAUGGGAAAAUCCAAAGUUAAAUAAGUACUUAAGGCUAGUAAAGGAUUUCAAUGGAGAAACAAAUCUUGAUUGGG